GACGAACGUUGGCGGCGUGCUUAAUACAUGCAAGUCAACUGAAGCAGUGGUAGCAAUAUCGCUGUGGAGGUGGCGCACGGGUGAGUAACACGUAGGUAAUCUGCCUUCAGGUCUGGCAUAACUCCGGGAAACCGGGGCUAAUAGCAGAUGAUGCAGCGGCUCGACAUCGAGACAGUUGUUAAAGCUAUGGCGCCUGAAGAUGAGCCUGCGUCUGAUUAGCUAGUUGGCGGGGUAACGGCCCACCAAGGCAACGAUCAGUAGCUGGUCUGAGAGGAUGAUCAGGCACACUGGAACUGAGACACGGUCCAGACUCCUACGGGAGGCAGCAGUAAGGAAUAUUGGUCAAUGGGAGAAAUCCUGAAGCAGCAACGCCGCGUGAGGGACGAAGGGCUUUUGCUUGUAAACCUCUGGAGGGAGAGAAAAAAAUCCCAAUCUUUGGGACAUGAUGGUAUCUCAAAAGUAAGCCCCGGCUAACUACGUG
Molecule: ribosomal RNA, 481 nt
Filed under: uncultured bacterium
Lineage: Bacteria
Description: partial 16S ribosomal RNA
Rfam family: Bacterial small subunit ribosomal RNA
Source: RNAcentral